Molecule: ribosomal RNA, 468 nt
Filed under: uncultured bacterium
Lineage: Bacteria
Description: partial 16S ribosomal RNA
Rfam family: Bacterial small subunit ribosomal RNA
Source: RNAcentral
GACGAACGCUGGCGGCGUGCUUAACACAUGCAAGUCGAACGGAAAGGCCCUGCUUUUGUGGGGUGCUCGAGUGGCGAACGGGUGAGUAACACGUGAGUAACCUGCCCUUGACUUUGGGAUAACUUCAGGAAACUGGGGCUAAUACCGGAUAUGAGCUCCUGCUGCAUGGUGGGGGUUGGAAAGUUUCGGCGGUUGGGGAUGGACUCGCGGCUUAUCAGCUUGUUGGUGGGGUAGUGGCUUACCAAGGCUUUGACGGGUAGCCGGCCUGAGAGGGUGACCGGCCACAUUGGGACUGGGAUACGGCCCAGACUCCUACGGGGGGCAGCAGUGGGGAAUAGUGCAAAAUGGGCGGAAGCCUGAUGCAGCAACGCCGCGUGCGGGAUGACGGCCUUCGGGUUGUAAACCGCUUUCGCCUGUGACGAAGCGUGAGUGACGGUAAUGGGUAAAGAAGCACCGGCUAACUACGUG